This 84-nucleotide small nuclear RNA is filed under the name Monodon monoceros (narwhal). Its description in RNAcentral is "U2 spliceosomal RNA (ENSMMNG00015000158.1)". It matches the Rfam family "U2 spliceosomal RNA", at positions 1 to 100 of the family's 192-position model. Rfam says of the family: U2 is a small nuclear RNA (snRNA) component of the spliceosome (involved in pre-mRNA splicing). Complementary binding between U2 snRNA (in an area lying towards the 5' end but 3' to hairpin I) and the branchpoint sequence (BPS) of the intron results the bulging out of an unpaired adenosine, on the BPS, which initiates a nucleophilic attack at the intronic 5' splice site, thus starting the first of two transesterification reactions that mediate splicing. The record is from RNAcentral. Lineage: Eukaryota; Metazoa; Chordata; Mammalia; Artiodactyla; Monodontidae.
ACUUCAUCUCGGCCUUUUGGCUAAGAGCAAGUGUAGCAUCUGUUCUUGUCAAUUUAAAUAGCACGAGAAAAGAAAGGAAAAUAA